GGAAUAAAAUUUGAAAAUUUCUAAUUCUUCCCACAUUGAUUAUCUCGGUGAAAAGAAAGAGAAUAGAAAGGCCAAAAGCAAGCGUUGGAAAAGUCCAUAAUUUGAAUUCAAAAAUCGAAAUCAAGCGCACCCUUUUGUCUGUUAGUGGAAUGUCUCAAUUGUAAGCCAAUAUCCAGUUGGUUUUGGUGGUCUACACUUGUUAGCCCUGCCUACAUACCAUUACAAACUCCAACGAAAUUACGCUUUUCGACCACCUCCCGCCCUACCUGCCAUUGCCAAGUAGCAGAAUAGCAUAUUCUUGGACACACAAUUUAUCAAAGUAGCGUUUGAAUUUAGCAGGGAGGCUUAAGGUCUUCCUCCCAGUCCCAGUAUGGUAUGCACACAAAGAACAUUGCAGAGAAGAAAUGAACCGUGAAAUAAAAUGACUUCAAUUAUAUUCCAAACAUCAAAUUGACAAAAAGACAGAGAGAGACACCCCCAUGCUAUUCAUAUUUCUUGCUUCUCUUUUUUCUUUUCUUUC
RNAcentral lists this unclassified non-coding RNA (520 nucleotides) under Hevea brasiliensis (rubber tree). The record is from RNAcentral. Lineage: Eukaryota; Viridiplantae; Streptophyta; Magnoliopsida; Malpighiales; Euphorbiaceae.